UGGGGAAUAUUGGACAAUGGGCGAAAGCCUGAUCCAGCAAUUCCGCGUGUGUGAAGAAGGCCUUCGGGUUGUAAAGCACUUUAGUGGGGGAAGAAACAGCUUGGCCACACCAAGCCUUGACGGUACCCCAAGAAUAAGCACCGGCUAACUCUGUGCCAGCAGCCGCGGUACUACAGAGGGUGCAAGCGUUAAUCGGAUUUACUGGGCGUAAAGGGUGCGUAGGUGGUUUUUUAAGUCGGAUGUGAAAGCCUGGGGCUCAACCUCAGAAUUGCAUUCGAUACUGGGAAACUAGAGUUCGGUAGAGGGCGGCGGAAUUUCCGGUGUAGCGGUGAAAUGCGUAGAUAUCGGAAGGAACAUCAAUGGCGAAGGCAGCCGCCUGGGCCUGGACUGACACUGAGGCACGAAAGCGUGGGUAGCAAACA
RNAcentral lists this ribosomal RNA (422 nucleotides) under uncultured bacterium. Its description in RNAcentral is "partial 16S ribosomal RNA". It matches the Rfam family "Bacterial small subunit ribosomal RNA", at positions 355 to 774 of the family's 1533-position model. The record is from RNAcentral.